This 1461-nucleotide long non-coding RNA is filed under the name Homo sapiens (human). RNAcentral's name for it is "long intergenic non-protein coding RNA 2177". Lineage: Eukaryota; Metazoa; Chordata; Mammalia; Primates; Hominidae. The record is from RNAcentral.
ACAGGAAGUAGGACAGAGCAAUGGAGGGAAGCCAGAUUUAAUGUCAGAAGUCUGGACCAUCAAUUUUAUCCCUUCCCAUUGCCUCCUUUUAAAUUUUAGUCAAUUCAAUAAAUAUUUUCAACUCCUCGUCUGUACCAGGCACCAAGCCACAGAAUGGAGUUCUGGCAAUGAACACUGCAGACAUGGCCGCCUUUAGCCUCAUGGAGCUUAGGGUCUGGGAGCAUUGUCAGUUUCUGAAUCCUCCAAGUGCUAAACUAUCUUCUCUCUUCAAAUUAGAGAAAAGAAAUGAGACAGCAGGCCUGCUUCUUUGAGUGUUUUUUUCUUUUUUGUUUCCGUUUUCUGACAACCAUACUUCACGUCUGACAGAGGAAAUGAUUCUUUUUGUCAGUGAUAAAUUUAUGAGUUUUGACUGUUUGUGAAGUUCCCUAAUUAAUUCUUUAUAGACUUCUAUUGGCAACUGAAUUUGUGUUUUGAGUUAAAAAUGGGAGUUCAGAUGAAUUACAGUUGAACAUUCUGCUCCCUUUGAAGAGCUCAUACUCCACAUUCUACGCUGUUAAUCUCUCUGCUUACUGAGAGGCACCGUUUGUCUUGCAGUGACGCACGGUGGGUGGUUACCAUGGCAUAGGAAAACAUUGCCAGCGCUGGCCCUGUCGUCAUGGAACCCCUGGGCCAUCUCCUGAGAAACUUGGUAAGGGCUCCCAAGCCGCCCAUACCUCCUUGGCACCACAAGUGUAGCUUUUUAUUUUGUGUGUGGGCAGCUUGACAUCUGCACCUGACCAAGAGAUUGAUGUGGCUAAACAAAUUUAGGAAAUGAGCAGCAGUGGAUCUCUGUUCAGAGAGGGAGGAGGAGAGAGAAGGAGGGAGGGAAGAAAGGAGAGAGGGAGAGAGCCAGAAAACAGAGCAAGAUAAAGGAAGAGAAUGCACCUGAAAUAGACACAAGGAUAAAUGGAUCAAGGAGAGAGGAGAAACAGAUAAUCACAACAGCGAAUAUUUGUUAAAUGCAUGCUCUUUGCCAGGUUGGAAUAAAUGCAGAUGCUGCAAAUUGAUGGAGGCCUGGUGUCUUCCAGAGUGGAGGUAAAGGCUGGCUGAGGAAUCAGUGAGGCCAGGAAGAGGGCUCAGCUGAGCAACUGAUCAAAGCAUCCCUCUUCAGGAAGGAGCUUCCUGUGUUUUCUCUGGGAACUCACCUGUUUUCCACUCCAGACUCUCCAAGAUAUGCAGAGCUUUGGGCCAGGAUCCUACAGCCACGGGUCAUGCAGAGCCAGUUGGCCACAUCCUUUGGGCCAAAUUUGGUCCUAACCAGGUCUUACCACGGUAACUGCUAACCAGUCCAUCUUCAGUUAAUAUUUCAUGCAAAACAAUGGGCAAGUCAGCUCAUGAAGAACUUUUCAGAUAUUCAGACUAUUAUUCUGAGAGAGAAAAUAUUGGCAGAGAACAGAUGGGAUUUUUCUCAAGGAAAAGAAA